UUGAAGAUUCUAAGGCCAACGGGAGAAGGGUUGUUAAGGAACUCGGCAAGUUGACCCCGUAACUUCGGAAUAAGGGGUGCUCACGAGAGUGAGCCGCAGAGAAUAGGCCCAGGCAACUGUUUACCAAAAACACAGGUUUGUGCUAAAUCGAAAGAUGACGUAUACGAGCUGACGCCUGCCCGGUGCUGGAAGGUUAAAAGGAGAUGUGCAAGCAUUGAAUUGAAGCCCCAGUGAACGGCGGCCGUAACAAUAACGGUCCUAAGGUAGCGAAAUUCCUUGUCAGGUAAGUUCUGACCCGCAUGAAAGGCGUAAUGAUCUGGGCACUGUCUCAACAGCCCGCCCGGCGAAAUUGUAGUACCGGUGAAGAUGCCGGUUACCCGCGACAAGACGGAAAGACCCCAUGGAGCUUUACUGUAGCCUGAUAUUGGGUUUCGGUGUUGCAUGCACAGGAUAGAUGGGACACUGGGAAGGCAGAGCUUUGGCAUUGCUGGAGUGGACGUUGGGAUACCAUCCUUGCGACAUUGGAAUUCUAACCUGCGCCUCUGAAGCGAGGCGGGGGACAUUGUCAGGUGGGCAGUUUGACUGGGGCGGUCGCCUCCUAAAAAGUAGCGGAGGCGUUCAAAGGUUCGUUCGAUCUGGACGGAAACCAGAUGAUUGAGUGCAAACGCAUAAACGAGCCUGACUGCGAGACUGACGGGUCGAGCAGAGACGAAAGUCGGAGUUAGUGAUCCGGUGGUAUGUGAGUGGAAAUGCCAUCGCUCAACGGAUAAAAGUUACCCUGGGAUAACAGGCUGAUCUCCCCCAAGAGUCCACAUCGACGGGGAGGUUUGGCACCUCGAUGUCGGCUCAUCGCAUCCUGGGGCUGAAUUCGGUCCCAAGGGUUUGGCUGUUCGCCAAUUAAAGCGGUACGCGAGCUGGGUUCAGAACGUCGUGAGACAGUUCGGUCCCUAUCUGUCGUGGGCGCAGGAUAUUUGAAAGGCGCUGUCCCUAGUACGAGAGGACCGGGAUGGACGAACCUCUGGUGCACCAGUUGUCACGCCAGUGGCACAGCUGGGCAGCUAUGUUCGGAUCGGAUAAACGCUGAAAGCAUCUAAGCGUGAAGCCGGCCUUAAGAUAAGAUAUCCCACUGAGUCAAUCAGGUAAGACCCCUUGAAGACUACAAGGUUGAUAGGCACACAGUGUAAGCGGAGUGAUCCGUUCAGCUAGCGUGUACUAAUAGGUCGAGGGCUUGACCG
This 1235-nucleotide ribosomal RNA is filed under the name metagenome. Its description in RNAcentral is "bacterial LSU rRNA". It matches the Rfam family "Bacterial large subunit ribosomal RNA", at positions 1672 to 2925 of the family's 2925-position model. The record is from RNAcentral.